This 253-nucleotide ribosomal RNA is filed under the name uncultured bacterium. RNAcentral describes it as "partial 16S ribosomal RNA". It matches the Rfam family "Bacterial small subunit ribosomal RNA", at positions 524 to 776 of the family's 1533-position model. The record is from RNAcentral.
UACGGAGGGUGCAAGCGUUAUCCGGAUUCACUGGGUUUAAAGGGUGCGUAGGUGGGCAGGUAAGUCAGUGGUGAAAUCUUUGGGCUUAACCCGAAAACUGCCAUUGAUACUAUUUGUCUUGAAUAUUGUGGAGGUCAGCGGAAUAUGUCAUGUAGCGGUGAAAUGCUUGGAUAUGACAUAGAACACCAAUUGCGAAGGCAGCUGGCUACACAUAUAUUGACACUGAUGCACGAAAGCGUGGGGAUCAAACAGG